GCGCGGAUGGCGGAACCGGUAGACGCGCGGGACUUAGGAUCCCGUGGGGCAACCCGUCCGAGUUCGACUCUCGGUCCGCGCACCA
This 85-nucleotide transfer RNA is filed under the name Actinomycetota bacterium. RNAcentral's name for it is "tRNA-Leu". It matches the Rfam family "tRNA". From Rfam's summary of the family: Transfer RNA (tRNA) molecules are approximately 80 nucleotides in length. Lineage: Bacteria; Bacillati; Actinomycetota. The record is from RNAcentral. RNAcentral also lists the same sequence under 1 other name.